UGGAAAGUUGACGGGCAAAACAAAAACACUGACUAGAUCAUUCUGCUGUGGCUGUGUAGGGUGCCCAGAAUCCGCCCGCCUACAUCCGCAACCUCCGACGGGAUGUGCGCAAACGUGUGCGGGCGCAGCUGGAGAGAGAACAACCUGUGCUGCUGCUGCAGGUGAGAGCAGGCACAGUUUCAAAGGGUUAUCGGGCCUUGAAUAAUGCGUCCUUGUUACGUCCUGGUAUUCAUAUAGCUCCACAGCUAUUCACCAGCUCCGAGGCAGAACUUGCAUGGGGCUGAUCUCUUUCCUAUGAAGGGGAAAGGCAAGGGGCAGCGGGCCGGUUUGGCUGUUGGAAUUUGAUUCCAUGGCAGAAGUCACAAAUCCCUCCUGGUGUCUGAGCUUCUUCGCGCCUGAGCAGAGGAUGUCUUACAAGAGCAUGCCCAGAAUAAAUUGCGCCUGAUAUGAGCAUUGGGAAAAGGUUGUGCAGGAGCACAUCCUGCCACACUGUUACCAUGUUUGUUGGUUUGAAGCGUUUUUGUGUGUGCAUAUGUUUUACCAACCUAGAUUGUACACUGACAAAGCGUGUAUGGGGAAGGGACUGUAGGUGCGCAAGAAUGGAACCAACCUCGCGGUCCAUCUUUCCUUAAGCGGCAGUCCUAGCGGGUCCGAGCUUUGUCGUUUGAUUUUACGCUACGUCGGCUGGCUAGCUGGGCUGGGGUUUGCUUGGGUUAGUGGGGCCAGGGGUGUGUUAGCAGGGGGCCUUGAAGGAACACAUGCAGCAUAGCAGCUAACAUAUAAUUUACUACUUCACCGCCACGUCGGUAGAUUUUCCGAUUUCCCUACAUUACGGUUUCCGAUACCCUCUUUUUGCCGCCUUAAGUCCUACAGUUCAUUGCUACGGUUUACUUGUUUCUCUGCUUUCAUUAAGACUUUCCUUUCAUCUCCGCGUCUAGGCAGUUUUUUGGGCGAGGCCCCGGGCGUGAACCGCCAUUCGGGGGACCGAGCCCCCGGUGCUCACUGCUGUCAGUCAGUCUGUCUGUCUUUCAGUGUGUCUGUCUGUCAGUCUGUCUGUCAGGGGCUUCCAUAUUUUGCUCUGCAAAAAGCUACAUCGAUUGGCCAAAGGAGAACAUUCAGAUAAAGCGGAGCGCGAAGAUAGCUUACCAUGGCUUCGAGGUUUGACUGCCCCUCACCUCGCAGCCCUUGCCUCUGACGUCGUUGCAUGUCCCUUACAUUAUAGAUUCAUAAGCAAACGGCAUGAUCCUUUAAGGGGUUGGUUCCUUCAUGCUUGGCAAUUUAAGACCGACCCAUGGCAACGCUCUAAGCACCUCCCUCCUGGCGUCUCGCUCGUGCCUGUUUGAUUGUUGUCCUUCUUAUUCUUUUUUUCAAUCAUUCAAUUCAAGUUGUACAUAAUAACAACAUUUCGAGGGCUCCGACAAGCCCGCGUAACUUCACUUCAUCAAAACGAAUUGUGCCUUUGCGACACACCGUCAGCUUUGCCUCUGCAUUCCGACUUCAAAAUGUGCGAUUGGAACGAUCCUCGAAUGCGUUCUGGCUGGGAGCGGAAGCACGGGCACUUUGGCGCGCCUUGGACUGCCAGCGAGCAGACCGAAAGGCCGUCGUCGAAUCUAGAUGCAACGGGUAGUACCACCUAC
This 1637-nucleotide long non-coding RNA is filed under the name Volvox carteri. Its description in RNAcentral is "long non-coding RNA (VCAR_LNC003644)". The record is from RNAcentral. Lineage: Eukaryota; Viridiplantae; Chlorophyta; Chlorophyceae; Chlamydomonadales; Volvocaceae.